CCUACGGGAGGCAGCAGUAAGGAAUAUUGGUCAAUGGACGCAAGUCUGAACCAGCCAUGCCGCGUGCAGGAUGACGGCCCUCUGGGUUGUAAACUGCUUUUAUAGGGGACGAAAAAAGGGCUUUCUAGCUCGUCUGACGGUACCCUAGGAAUAAGCACCGGCUAACUCCGUGCCAGCAGCCGCGGUAAUACGGAGGGUGCAAGCGUUAUCCGGAUUUACUGGGUUUAAAGGGUGCGUAGGUGGGUCGGUAAGUCAGCGGUGAAAUCUUCGAGCUUAACUCGGAAACUGCCAUUGAUACUAUCGAUCUUGAAUCAUCUGGAGGUAAGCGGAAUAUGUCAUGUAGCGGUGAAAUGCUUAGAUAUGACAUAGAACACCAAUUGCGAAGGCAGCUUACUACGGAUGCAUUGACACUGAGGCACGAAAGCGUGGGGAUCAAACAGGAUUAGAUACCCUGGUAGUCCACGCCCUAAACCGAUGGAUACUCGACAUUUGAGAUAUACUUUAAGUGUCUGAGCGAAAGCAUUAAGUAUCCACCUGGGAAGUACGAUUGCAAGAUUGAACUUCAAAUUGAGUUAGAGGCGNGAGACGNGCCGACGGACGACGACGAGGGAGGAGG
Molecule: ribosomal RNA, 616 nt
Filed under: uncultured bacterium
Lineage: Bacteria
Description: bacterial SSU rRNA
Rfam family: Bacterial small subunit ribosomal RNA
Source: RNAcentral